AACCAGUACAACACAUCAGAGGAGGGACGAUGGGGACUGAUCCCAGCUGUGAGGAACUUCAGAAAGGCUCAUUAAGUCACCCGCUUCGGACGUUAUCACGGCAUUCAAUGGCCAUUAUCAGUGGUUGUCAGCUUAUACUUAUGGGCCAAUAGGUGCCUACUCCACCUACUGACAGCGGUGAGUAGGUGCAGCAGGUCGUCGUCAUCUAUUCCUAAAGUAGAUCACGGCUUGGAGGACCAAACCAACUGAAUCCAGAUCCACUAGAGGCGCUGUUGAACCCUUUUUCUUCACACGGGAGAAUCGACGCGCUGAUCAAGGCAGGAUGGAAGAAAGGGGCAGAACAAUAAUAACAGACCAGCAAAAACAAUCUUUAAAACACUUUUUUGAAAAAGGAAUGAGAAGUGUUGGGUCUCCAUUGGUACAAGCAGCUGCUGAAAUCACUGCGUUGCCGCCUUCUAUCAUAGAGGU
Molecule: long non-coding RNA, 468 nt
Organism: Betta splendens (Siamese fighting fish)
Lineage: Eukaryota; Metazoa; Chordata; Actinopteri; Anabantiformes; Osphronemidae
Exons: 3
Source: RefSeq, a predicted model, not a curated record